This 377-nucleotide RNase P RNA is filed under the name Planctomycetota bacterium. Its description in RNAcentral is "Planctomycetes bacterium (drinking water metagenome) RNase P RNA component class A". It matches the Rfam family "Bacterial RNase P class A". From Rfam's summary of the family: Ribonuclease P (RNase P) is a ubiquitous endoribonuclease, found in archaea, bacteria and eukarya as well as chloroplasts and mitochondria. Its best characterised activity is the generation of mature 5'-ends of tRNAs by cleaving the 5'-leader elements of precursor-tRNAs. The record is from RNAcentral. Lineage: Bacteria; Pseudomonadati; Planctomycetota.
UGAGAGGCCCGGGCGGCCGCUCUCGGGGCGAACGCGCCGCGAGGGAGGAAAGUCCGGGCUCCUCGGGUCAGGGUGGUUGCUAACAGCAACCGGUCGCGAGGCCAGGGAAAGUGCCACAGAGAAUAGACCGCCUGCACGGACCGCGUGUCCGCGCAGGUAAGGGUGAAACGGUGCGGUAAGAGCGCACCGCGGUCCUGGUGACAGGAUUGGCAGGGCAAACCCCACCCGGAGAAAGACCAAAUAGGGGGGCGUGUGAGACCCGCACGAAGCGCCCCCGGGUAGGUCGUUCGAGGCCGAGCGCGAGUUCGGUCCCAGAGAAAUGGCCGCCCCCCUUCGCAAGGAGGGGACAAAACCCGGCUUACAGGGCCUCUCACGCG